Non-coding RNA from Cerioporus squamosus, 97 nucleotides. The record is from the annotation of a GenBank genome assembly. NCBI's taxonomy places the organism in Eukaryota, Fungi, Basidiomycota, Agaricomycetes, Polyporales, Polyporaceae.
GGCCCAAUGGUCUAGUAGUAUGAUUCGCGCUUCGGGAGUUUACCGGUCGGAAGACCACGUAUGCGCGAGGUCCCGGGUUCAAUUCCCGGUUGGGCCC